GACGAACGCUGGCGGCGUGCCUAAUACAUGCAAGUAGAACGCUGAAGGAGGAGCUUGCUCUUCUGGAUGAGUUGCGAACGGGUGAGUAACGCGUAGGUAACCUGCCUGGUAGCGGGGGAUAACUAUUGGAAACGAUAGCUAAUACCGCAUAACAUUGACUAUUGCAUGAUAGUCAAUUAAAAGGUGCACAUGCACCACUACCAGAGGGACCUGCGUUGUAUUAGCUAGUUGGUGGGGUAACGGCUCACCAAGGCGACGAUACAUAGCCGACCUGAGAGGGUGAUAGGCCAAACUGGGACUGAGACACGGCCCAGACUCCUACAGGAGGCAGCAGUAGGGAAUCAUCGGCAAUGGAAGGAAGUCUGAGCGAGCAAAGCCGCGUGAGGGAAGAAGGUUUUCGGAUCGUAAAGAUCUGUUGUAAGAGAAGAACGAGUGUGAGAGUGGAAAGUUCACACUGUGACGGUAUCUUACCAGAAAGGGACGGCUAACUACGUG
Molecule: ribosomal RNA, 495 nt
Filed under: uncultured bacterium
Lineage: Bacteria
Description: partial 16S ribosomal RNA
Rfam family: Bacterial small subunit ribosomal RNA
Source: RNAcentral